RNAcentral lists this transfer RNA (72 nucleotides) under [Torrubiella] hemipterigena. Its description in RNAcentral is "Torrubiella hemipterigena tRNA". It matches the Rfam family "tRNA". From Rfam's summary of the family: Transfer RNA (tRNA) molecules are approximately 80 nucleotides in length. The record is from Rfam by way of RNAcentral. Lineage: Eukaryota; Fungi; Ascomycota; Sordariomycetes; Hypocreales; Clavicipitaceae.
UGCAAUAUAGCUCAGUGGAAGAGCGGUGGGCUCAUAACCCAUUGGUCCCUAGAUCAAAACUAGGUAUUGCAA